RNAcentral lists this ribosomal RNA (285 nucleotides) under uncultured Chlorobiota bacterium. Its description in RNAcentral is "uncultured Chlorobi bacterium partial 16S ribosomal RNA". The record is from RNAcentral. Lineage: Bacteria; Pseudomonadati; Chlorobiota.
UACCAGGGUAUCUAAUCCUGUUUGCUACCCACGCUUUCGUCCCUGAGCGUCAGUAUCGAGCCAGAUAACCGCCUUCGCUACCGGUGUUCUUCAUGAUCUCUACACAUUUCACCGCUACACCAUGAAUUCCAUUAUCCUCUCUCGAACUCAAGACAAGCAGUAUCGAAGGCAAUUUCACGGUUGAGCCGUGAACUUUCACCACCGACUUACUUGCCCGCCUGCGGACCCUUUACACCCAGUAAUUCCGGACAACGCUUGCACCCUACGUAUUACCGCGGCUGCUGG